RNAcentral lists this ribosomal RNA (2505 nucleotides) under Salmonella enterica subsp. enterica serovar Enteritidis. RNAcentral's name for it is "partial 23S ribosomal RNA". It matches the Rfam family "Bacterial large subunit ribosomal RNA". Lineage: Bacteria; Pseudomonadati; Pseudomonadota; Gammaproteobacteria; Enterobacterales; Enterobacteriaceae. The record is from RNAcentral.
AGCAUUUGCUGUACCGCGUUGACGGAGCGAAGCGACGUCAAACCGAUAAAACAGCAGUGUAAAGUGAGCCGCAGGGCGCUUUGCGCGACAGCGCAAAGGCAGGCGGUUUCGCGUAGCGAAAGCGAAUGCUUUGGGGUGGGGUGACUGCGUACCUUUUGUAUAAUGGGUCAGCGACUUAUAUUCUGUAGCAAGGUUAACCGAAUAGGGGAGCCGGAGGGAAACCGAGUCUUAAUUGGGCGUUAAGUUGCAGGGUAUAGACCCGAAACCCGGUGAUCUAGCCAUGGGCAGGUUGAAGGUUGGGUAACACUAACUGGAGGACCGAACCGACUAAUGUUGAAAAAUUAGCGGAUGACCUGUGGCUGGGGGUGAAAGGCCAAUCAAACCGGGAGAUAGCUGGUUCUCCCCGAAAGCUAUUUAGGUAGCGCCUCGUGAAUUCAUCUCCGGGGGUAGAGCACUGUUUCGGCUAGGGGGCCAUCCCGGCUUACCAACCCGAUGCAAACUGCGAAUACCGGAGAAUGUUAUCACGGGAGACACACGGCGGGUGCUAACGUCCGUCGUGAAGAGGGAAACAACCCAGACCGCCAGCUAAGGUCCCAAAGUCAUGGUUAAGUGGGAAACGAUGUGGGAAGGCCCAGACAGCCAGGAUGUUGGCUUAGAAGCAGCCAUCAUUUAAAGAAAGCGUAAUAGCUCACUGGUCGAGUCGGCCUGCGCGGAAGAUGUAACGGGGCUAAACCAUGCACCGAAGCUGCGGCAGCGACACUGUGUGUUGUUGGGUAGGGGAGCGUUCUGUAAGCCUGUGAAGGUGUGUCGUGAGGCAUGCUGGAGGUAUCAGAAGUGCGAAUGCUGACAUAAGUAACGAUAAAGCGGGUGAAAAGCCCGCUCGCCGGAAGACCAAGGGUUCCUGUCCAACGUUAAUCGGGGCAGGGUGAGUCGACCCCUAAGGCGAGGCCGAAAGGCGUAGUCGAUGGGAAACGGGUUAAUAUUCCCGUACUUGGUGUUACUGCGAAGGGGGGACGGAGAAGGCUAUGUUGGCCGGGCGACGGUUGUCCCGGUUUAAGCGUGUAGGUGUGUGUUCCAGGUAAAUCCGGUUCACUUUAACACUGAGGCGUGACGACGAGGCACUACGGUGCUGAAGCAACAAAUGCCCUGCUUCCAGGAAAAGCCUCUAAGCAUCAGGUAACAUCAAAUCGUACCCCAAACCGACACAGGUGGUCAGGUAGAGAAUACCAAGGCGCUUGAGAGAACUCGGGUGAAGGAACUAGGCAAAAUGGUGCCGUAACUUCGGGAGAAGGCACGCUGACACGUAGGUGAAGUGAUUUACUCAUGGAGCUGAAGUCAGUCGAAGAUACCAGCUGGCUGCAACUGUUUAUUAAAAACACAGCACUGUGCAAACACGAAAGUGGACGUAUACGGUGUGACGCCUGCCCGGUGCCGGAAGGUUAAUUGAUGGGGUCAGCGCAAGCGAAGCUCCUGAUCGAAGCCCCGGUAAACGGCGGCCGUAACUAUAACGGUCCUAAGGUAGCGAAAUUCCUUGUCGGGUAAGUUCCGACCUGCACGAAUGGCGUAAUGAUGGCCAGGCUGUCUCCACCCGAGACUCAGUGAAAUUGAACUCGCUGUGAAGAUGCAGUGUACCCGCGGCAAGACGGAAAGACCCCGUGAACCUUUACUAUAGCUUGACACUGAACAUUGAGCCUUGAUGUGUAGGAUAGGUGGGAGGCUUUGAAGUGUGGACGCCAGUCUGCAUGGAGCCGACCUUGAAAUACCACCCUUUAAUGUUUGAUGUUCUAACGUGGACCCGUUACCCGGGUUGCGGACAGUGUCUGGUGGGUAGUUUGACUGGGGCGGUCUCCUCCUAAAGAGUAACGGAGGAGCACGAAGGUUGGCUAAUCCUGGUCGGACAUCAGGAGGUUAGUGCAAUGGCAUAAGCCAGCUUGACUGCGAGCGUGACGGCGCGAGCAGGUGCGAAAGCAGGUCAUAGUGAUCCGGUGGUUCUGAAUGGAAGGGCCAUCGCUCAACGGAUAAAAGGUACUCCGGGGAUAACAGGCUGAUACCGCCCAAGAGUUCAUAUCGACGGCGGUGUUUGGCACCUCGAUGUCGGCUCAUCACAUCCUGGGGCUGAAGUAGGUCCCAAGGGUAUGGCUGUUCGCCAUUUAAAGUGGUACGCGAGCUGGGUUUAGAACGUCGUGAGACAGUUCGGUCCCUAUCUGCCGUGGGCGCUGGAGAACUGAGGGGGGCUGCUCCUAGUACGAGAGGACCGGAGUGGACGCAUCACUGGUGUUCGGGUUGUCAUGCCAAUGGCACUGCCCGGUAGCUAAAUGCGGAAGAGAUAAGUGCUGAAAGCAUCUAAGCACGAAACUUGCCCCGAGAUGAGUUCUCCCUGAGACUUAGAGUCUCCUGAAGGAACGUUGAAGACGACGACGUUGAUAGGCCGGGUGUGUAAGCGCAGCGAUGCGUUGAGCUAACCGGUACUAAUGAACCGUGAGGCUUAACCUUACAACGCCGAAG